GCCAUCGUGGUGUAGUGGUCAGCACACUCGACGUAACUGAGAGGUCCGGGGUUCGAUUCCUGGCGAAGGCG
Molecule: transfer RNA, 71 nt
Filed under: Stegodyphus mimosarum
Lineage: Eukaryota; Metazoa; Arthropoda; Arachnida; Araneae; Eresidae
Rfam family: tRNA
About the family: Transfer RNA (tRNA) molecules are approximately 80 nucleotides in length. Their secondary structure includes four short double-helical elements and three loops (D, anti-codon, and T loops).
Source: Rfam by way of RNAcentral